RNAcentral lists this long non-coding RNA (684 nucleotides) under Salmo salar (Atlantic salmon). RNAcentral describes it as "lncRNA (ENSSSAG00000098615.1)". Lineage: Eukaryota; Metazoa; Chordata; Actinopteri; Salmoniformes; Salmonidae. The record is from RNAcentral.
UGUGUGUGUGUGUUUUAGAGUGUGUGUGUGUGUGUUUCAGAGUGUGUGUGUUUCAGAGUGUGUGUGUGUGUGUGUGUGUGUUUCAGAGUGUGUGUGAGUGUGUUUCAGAGUGUGUGUGUGUUUCAGAGUGUGUGUGUGUGUGUGUUUCAGAGUGUGUGUGUGUGUGUUUCAGAGUGUGUGUGUGUGUGUGUUUCAGAGUGUGUGUGUGUGUGUUUCAGAGUGUGUGUGUGUUUCAGAGUGUGUGUGUGUGUGUGUUUUCAAGUGUGUGUGUGUGUGUUUCAGUGUGUGUGUGUGUGUUUCAGAGUGUGUGUGUGUGUUUCAGAGUGUGUGUGUGUGUUUCAGAGUGUGUGUGUGUGUGUGUUUCAGAGUGUGUGUUUCAGAGUGUGUGUGUGUGUUUCAGAGUGUGUGUGUGUGUUUCAGAGUGUGUGUGUGUUUCAGAGUGUGUGUGUUUCAGAGUGUGUGUGUGUGUGUGUUUCAGAGUGUGUGUGUGUGUGUGUUUCAGAGUGUGUGUGUGUGUGUGAGUGUGUGUGUGUGUUUCAGAGUGUGUGUGUGUGUGUGUGUUUCAGAGUGUGUGUGUGUGUGUGUGUUUCAGAGUGUGUGUGUUUCAGAGUGUGUGUGUGUGUGUGUUUCAGAGUGUGUGUGUGUUUCAGAGUGUGUGUGUGUGUGUUUCAGAGUGUGUGUGUG